RNAcentral lists this long non-coding RNA (543 nucleotides) under Elaeis guineensis (African oil palm). Its description in RNAcentral is "long non-coding RNA (EGUI_LNC046275)". Lineage: Eukaryota; Viridiplantae; Streptophyta; Magnoliopsida; Arecales; Arecaceae. The record is from RNAcentral.
CAGAUGCCUCUUUUUUCUUGAUUUGGACUCUUCCAAAAAUGAGAAAUAGGAGAAGGAGUUUUAAAUGUGAGACACUCAGAAAACUCACAGAUGGAGGAAGGAAAGAGGUGAAUUCAGCAACCCUAGAAGAAGACCCUCUUCUUCUUCUCUUUGCUCUCACCUAGACACCUAGUUUUGUGUCUAUUAUAUCUCCAUGCCCCAACACUCUUUCUCCCUGAUUUUCACAUGCCCCAAAGGUAUCUCAAUGCUCUAUAAUCCACAAAACUCUCAAGAAAAAAAUUAUCUUAAAUAAAGAGAUAUGAAGAAUCUUUGUCUAGGUCAAAUACCUAGUCAAAAAAAAUUCAAUUAGGGUAAGACAAGGGGUGCCCAACUCUUGGGCGUCCCCUCCUUUUUUUGUCAUGGACCACCAGCAAAAGGCGCACAAUAUGUGCCAUAAAAGCCAUGAAAAUCUCAAAUAAAAUCUAGAUAAAAUCAAUGCCAUAAGGAAAGAGUUUUGGUUUCUUAAAAUUCUAUCUCAUAGAAUUUGAAAUUCAAACUAAUUCC